UACUGCCUCCACCCUCUCCAUCUCUUCUUUUCUCAAAACCCGCCGCCACAAAUCAAGAUGGCAUCUGAUGUUGACGAUCAUCAACAACAAUAAGAAAAUCAGCACAAUGAUUUCUCCUCUCAAACAUAAGCUGUGGAUGAAGUGGAUGAAAAGCUGGGUUUCAUCAAUCAGUCCCGAUCUUUUAUCAUCCUGGCCUUCUGUUCUGUCAUCUCUCUAUCAUAAUCUAGGUGCUCUGGAAGUAGCCAAAUGGAUGGGAGGGAAACCCUAAAAUUGGGUGGUAUGCUGCUAGCAGCUUAGAAAUGUCAUUGGAAAAAGGGUGGAACGGAACGGCCAAUUUACUGAAAGUAGGAACAGACCAUGGAUUCUAUUGUUUCUCCUUCAUGUAUUAUGAACUAGGCUUUCCAAAGAACAGGUUGAGACUUCAUCGCGAAACUAAAAGGCUACAAAGAAUCAAAUUUCAUGACUAGUGGAGGGCACAAUACAAAUGUACCUAGAAGUGAACUCUAAACAGUCUACUGCAUUGCAUGUAUGUUUAAGAAUAUCAGCAAAGUCACAAAUUGCUAGGCUCCUACAUAAGGCGACACAAAGUGGAAACAAGGGCGACAUUGAAGGAGGGAAUCCAAAGGUAGAGCAAAUGUAAUCAAUACAAAGUUGUAACUUCUUGCACUUACAAUUGCUCUAUCUUUUGUUUCCCCAAAUCCAAUGUAAUUUCUAGCAACUUACAUUUGCUCAGAUUUUGGAUUCCCUCAUACAAGAAACAAGGUGAGCGAAAACUCAAGCUUCAGAGGCAAGCAGGAAAAAAAAGUGGAUUGCCUUUUGUUUCUUGUUUCACAUAUAAUGAAGCUUUGUUACGUUUUUCACCUGAGCUGAAGGUGCUUGGAACCUUGCAUUCAUAAAGAAGGAAAAUCUUUGUAUCAUCUCCAUUUAGGCUAAACUCUAUGGGCUAGAUUGGAGUGCUAGAUUGGCCAAAAAGUGUUGCAAAUCAAGAAAAAAGUGUUAGAAAAAA
Papaver somniferum (opium poppy) is the source of this 1006-nucleotide long non-coding RNA. RefSeq lists it as uncharacterized. Lineage: Eukaryota; Viridiplantae; Streptophyta; Magnoliopsida; Ranunculales; Papaveraceae. The record is from RefSeq and is a predicted model, not a curated record. The transcript has 5 exons.